Molecule: small nuclear RNA, 90 nt
Filed under: Peromyscus maniculatus bairdii (prairie deer mouse)
Lineage: Eukaryota; Metazoa; Chordata; Mammalia; Rodentia; Cricetidae
Source: RNAcentral
GGGCUCACUUUGACAGUGCAUAUACUAAAACUGGAACAAUAUGAAGAAAAUUAGGAUGACAUGCAAAUUUGUGAAGUGUUCCAUAUUUUU